This 480-nucleotide ribosomal RNA is filed under the name Blastocystis sp. Its description in RNAcentral is "SSU rRNA". It matches the Rfam family "Eukaryotic small subunit ribosomal RNA", at positions 460 to 953 of the family's 1831-position model. The record is from RNAcentral. Lineage: Eukaryota; Bigyra; Opalinata; Blastocystidae.
GGAGGUAGUGACAAUAAAUCACAAUGCGGAACUUCUGUUUUGCAAUUGGAUUGAGAACAACGCACAACACUUAUCGAUAAACAAUUGGAGGGCAGGUCUGGUGCCAGCAGCCGCGGUAAUUCCAGCUCCAAUAGCGUAUAUUAACGUUGUUGCAGUUAAAAAGCUCGUAGUUGAAGUGAAGUGUGAAUCUUCUGGAUUUUCGUUCGAAUUUCCAGCUGCUUCAUACUCUUUCCAAAUAGUUUGCAUGGGUAUUCACUUAUCUGUGUAUUGCAUUUGGUCAUUUACUGUGAGAAAAUUAGAGUGUUCAAAGCAUACGUUUGUUUGAAUACAUUAGCAUGGAAUAAUUCGAAAAGGCUUUCAUGUUCGAUUUGAUUGGUUUGUUCGUGAAGGCAAGAUUAAAAGGGACAGUUGGGGGUAUUCAUAUUCAAUAGUCAGAGGUGAAAUUCUUGGAUUUAUGGAAGAUGAACAAGUGCGAAAGCA